CCUACGGGAGGCAGCAGUAAGGAAUAUUGGACAAUGCUCGCAAGAGUGAUCCAGCCAUGCCGCGUGCAGGAAGAAUGCCCUAUGGGUAGUAAACUGCUUUUGAACUAGAGAAAACCCCAGUACGUGUACUGGGCUGAUAGUAUAGUUAGAAUAAGCAUCGGCUAACUUCGUGCCAGCAGCCGCGGUAAGACGAAGGAUGCAAGCGUUAUCCGGAUUCAUUGGGUUUAAAGGGAGCGUAGGUGGACUGAUAAGUCAGUGGUGAAAUCUCCGAGCUUAACUCGGAAAUUGCCAUUGAUACUGUUGGUCUUGAGUACAGUUGCUGUGGGCGGAAUAUGACAUGUAGUGGUGAAAUACAUAGAGAUGUCAUAGAACACCGAUUGCGAAGGCAGCUCACAAAGCUGUAACUGACACUGAGGCUCGAAAGUGCGGGGAUCAAACAGGAUUAGAUACCCUGGUAGUCCGCACCGUAAACGAUGAUUACUCGCUGCUAGGGGGCAACCUUUAGUGGCUUAGCGAAAGCGANAAGUAAUCCACCCUGGGGAGUACGCCGGCAACGGUGAAACUCAAAGGAAUUGACGGCGNGAGGAGNGCGAGGCGACGACGAGGGGAGGAGG
This 614-nucleotide ribosomal RNA is filed under the name uncultured bacterium. Its description in RNAcentral is "bacterial SSU rRNA". It matches the Rfam family "Bacterial small subunit ribosomal RNA", at positions 338 to 951 of the family's 1533-position model. The record is from RNAcentral.